RNAcentral lists this ribosomal RNA (537 nucleotides) under uncultured Pelosinus sp. RNAcentral describes it as "bacterial SSU rRNA". It matches the Rfam family "Bacterial small subunit ribosomal RNA", at positions 1 to 526 of the family's 1533-position model. The record is from RNAcentral. Lineage: Bacteria; Bacillati; Bacillota; Negativicutes; Selenomonadales; Sporomusaceae.
UAGAGUUUGAUCCUGGCUCAGGACGAACGCUGGCGGCGUGCCUAACACAUGCAAGUCGAACGGAGAUUUCAGCAAUGGGAUCUUAGUGGCGAACGGGUGAGUAACGCGUAGACAACCUGCCUUCUAGAUGGGGACAACACUGCGAAAGUGGUGCUAAUACCGAAUGUCGUAUCUUGUGCGCAUGCACACGAUACCAAAGGUGGCCUCUGAAUAUGCUACCGCUAGAAGAUGGGUCUGCGUCUGAUUAGCUAGUUGGUGAGGUAAUGGCUCACCAAGGCGACGAUCAGUAGCCGGUCUGAGAGGAUGAACGGCCACACUGGGACUGAGACACGGCCCAGACUCCUACGGGAGGCAGCAGUGGGGAAUCUUCCGCAAUGGACGAAAGUCUGACGGAGCAACGCCGCGUGAGUGAAGAAGGUUUUCGGAUCGUAAAGCUCUGUCUUUUAGGACGAAUGUACUUUAUGUGAAUAAUGUAGAGUAAUGACGGUACUGAGGAGGAAGCCACGGCUAACUACGUGCCAGCCGCCGCGGUAAUAC